Molecule: ribosomal RNA, 253 nt
Filed under: uncultured bacterium
Lineage: Bacteria
Description: partial 16S ribosomal RNA
Rfam family: Bacterial small subunit ribosomal RNA
Source: RNAcentral
UACGGGGGGGGCAAGCGUUGUUCGGAAUUACUGGGCGUAAAGGGCGCGUAGGCGGCCCUCUAAGUCAGACGUGAAAUCCCUCGGCUCAACCGGGGAACUGCGUCUGAUACUGGAGGGCUUGAAUCCGGGAGAGGGAUGUGGAAUUCCAGGUGUAGCGGUGAGAUGCGUAGAUAUCUGGAGGGACACCGGUGGCGAAGGCGGCAUCCUGGACCGGUAUUGACGCUGAGGCACGAAAGCGUGGGGAUCAAACAGG